RNAcentral lists this transfer RNA (74 nucleotides) under Pelodiscus sinensis (Chinese soft-shelled turtle). It matches the Rfam family "tRNA". Rfam says of the family: Transfer RNA (tRNA) molecules are approximately 80 nucleotides in length. Their secondary structure includes four short double-helical elements and three loops (D, anti-codon, and T loops). Further hydrogen bonds mediate the characteristic L-shaped molecular structure. tRNAs have two regions of fundamental functional importance: the anti-codon, which is responsible for specific mRNA codon recognition, and the 3' end, to which the tRNAs corresponding amino acid is attached (by aminoacyl-tRNA synthetases). tRNAs cope with the degeneracy of the genetic code in two manners: having more than one tRNA (with a specific anti-codon) for a particular amino acid; and 'wobble' base-pairing, i.e. permitting non-standard base-pairing at the 3rd anti-codon position. Lineage: Eukaryota; Metazoa; Chordata; Testudines; Trionychidae. The record is from Rfam by way of RNAcentral.
GGCACCGUGGCUUAGCUGGCUAAAGCACUUACCUUGUAAGCAGGAGAUCCUGGGUUUAAAUCCUAGUGAUACCU